CUCUGCUGUGGCCUAUGGCUUUUCAUUCCUAUGUGAUUACUGUUCCAAACUCAUGUAGGGCUAAAAGCCAUGGGUUACAGUGAGGGGCG
Molecule: microRNA precursor, 89 nt
Filed under: Capra hircus (goat)
Lineage: Eukaryota; Metazoa; Chordata; Mammalia; Artiodactyla; Bovidae
Description: microRNA mir-135b (ENSCHIG00000001808.1)
Rfam family: mir-135 microRNA precursor family
About the family: The hairpin precursors (represented here) are predicted based on base pairing and cross-species conservation -- their extents are not known. In this case the mature sequence is excised from the 5' arm of the hairpin.
Source: RNAcentral